UAUCAACUGUUUAAAAGAUGGGUUCUGCUAUCACUCUUGGGAUGGGACCCUGCGGUGCAUUAGCUAGUUGGUAGGGUAACGGGCUACCAAGGCGAUGAUGCAUAGCCCGAGUUGAGAGACUGAUCGGGCCACAUUGGGGACUGAGACACGGGCCCAAAACUCCUACGGGGAGGCAGCAGUAGGGAAUCUUCCACAAUGGACGCAAGUCUGAUGGAGCAACGCCGCGUGAGUGAAGUAAGGGUUUCGGCUACGUAAAGCUCUGUUGUUGGUGAAGAAGGACAGGGUAGUAACUGACCUUUGUUUGACGGUAAUCAAUUAGAAAGUCACGGCUAACUACGUGCCAGCAGCCGCGUAAU
This 356-nucleotide ribosomal RNA is filed under the name uncultured Lactobacillales bacterium. Its description in RNAcentral is "bacterial SSU rRNA". It matches the Rfam family "Bacterial small subunit ribosomal RNA", at positions 190 to 524 of the family's 1533-position model. Lineage: Bacteria; Bacillati; Bacillota; Bacilli; Lactobacillales. The record is from RNAcentral.